RNAcentral lists this ribosomal RNA (510 nucleotides) under Babesia capreoli. RNAcentral describes it as "SSU rRNA". It matches the Rfam family "Eukaryotic small subunit ribosomal RNA", at positions 533 to 1093 of the family's 1831-position model. The record is from RNAcentral. Lineage: Eukaryota; Apicomplexa; Aconoidasida; Piroplasmida; Babesiidae.
UCACCAGAGUAACAAUUGGAGGGCAAGUCUGGUGCCAGCAGCCGCGGUAAUUCCAGCUCCAAUAGCGUAUAUUAAACUUGUUGCAGUUAAAAAGCUCGUAGUUGAAUUUUUGCGUGGUGUUAAUAUUGACUGAUGUCGAGAUUGCACUUCGCUUUUGGGAUUUUCCCCUUUUUACUUUGAGAAAAUUAGAGUGUUUCAAGCAGACUUUUGUCUUGAAUACUUCAGCAUGGAAUAAUAGAGUAGGACUUUGGUUCUAUUUUGUUGGUUUGUGAACCUUAGUAAUGGUUAAUAGGAACGGUUGGGGGCAUUCGUAUUUAACUGUCAGAGGUGAAAUUCUUAGAUUUGUUAAAGACGAACUACUGCGAAAGCAUUUGCCAAGGACGUUUUCAUUAAUCAAGAACGAAAGUUAGGGGAUCGAAGACGAUCAGAUACCGUCGUAGUCCUAACCAUAAACUAUGCCGACUAGGGAUUGGAGGUCGUCAUUUUUCCGACUCCUUCAGCACCUUGAGA